GAAACCAGGUGAUCUACCCUUGGUCAGGUUGAAGUUCAGGUAACACUGAAUGGAGGACCGAACCGACUUACGUUGAAAAGUGAGCGGAUGAACUGAGGGUAGCGGAGAAAUUCCAAUCGAACUUGGAGAUAGCUGGUUCUCUCCGAAAUAGCUUUAGGGCUAGCCUCAAGUGAUGAUUAUUGGAGGUAGAGCACUGUUUGGACGAGGGGCCCCUCUCGGGUUACCGAAUUCAGACAAACUCCGAAUGCCAAUUAAUUUAACUUGGGAGUCAGAACAUGGGUGAUAAGGUCCGUGUUCGAAAGGGAAACAGCCCAGACCACCAGCUAAGGUCCCAAAAUAUAUGUUAAGUGGAAAAGGAUGUGGCGUUGCCCAGACAACUAGGAUGUUGGCUUAGAAGCAGCCAUCAUUUAAAGAGUGCGUAAUAGCUCACUAGUCGAGUGACACUGCGCCGAAAAUGUACCGGGGCUAAACAUAUUACCGCAGCUGUGGAUUGUCCUUUGGACACUGGUAAGAAAGCGUUAUAAGGGCGUCGAAGCAUGAUCGCCAGGACAUGUGGAGCGCUUAGAAGUGAGAAUGCCGGUGUGAGUAGCGAAAGAAGGGGGAGAAGCACGUCCACCGCUUGACUAAGG
RNAcentral lists this ribosomal RNA (629 nucleotides) under Staphylococcus epidermidis. Its description in RNAcentral is "bacterial LSU rRNA". It matches the Rfam family "Bacterial large subunit ribosomal RNA", at positions 717 to 1350 of the family's 2925-position model. The record is from RNAcentral. Lineage: Bacteria; Bacillati; Bacillota; Bacilli; Caryophanales; Staphylococcaceae.